This 253-nucleotide ribosomal RNA is filed under the name uncultured bacterium. Its description in RNAcentral is "partial 16S ribosomal RNA". It matches the Rfam family "Bacterial small subunit ribosomal RNA", at positions 524 to 776 of the family's 1533-position model. The record is from RNAcentral.
UACGAGGGGGGCAAGCGUUGUUCGGAAUUAUUGGGCGUAAAGGGCGCGUAGGCGGUUUGACAAGUCUGAUGUGAAAUCUAUGGGCUCAACCCAUAGCCUGCAUUAGAAACUGUCGGGCUUGAGUAUGGGAGAGGUGAGUGGAAUUUCCGGUGUAGCGGUGAAAUGCGUAGAUAUCGGAAGGAACACCUGUGGCGAAAGCGGCUCACUGGAUCGAUACUGACGCUGAGGUGCGAAGGUCAGGGGAGCAAACGGG